GACGAACGCUGGCGGCGUGCCUAAUACAUGCAAGUUGAGCGCUGAAGGUUGGUACUUGUACCAACUGGAUGAGCAGCGAACGGGUGAGUAACGCGUGGGGAAUCUGCCUUUGAGCGGGGGACAACAUUUGGAAACGAAUGCUAAUACCGCAUAAAAACUUUAAACACAAGUUUUAAGUUUGAAAGAUGCAAUUGCAUCACUCAAAGAUGAUCCCGCGUUGUAUUAGCUAGUUGGUGAGGUAAAGGCUCACCAAGGCGAUGAUACAUAGCCGACCUGAGAGGGUGAUCGGCCACAUUGGGACUGAGACACGGCCCAAACUCCUACGGGAGGCAGCAGUAGGGAAUCGUCGGCAAGGGACGAAAGUCUGACCGAGCAACGCCGCGUGAGUGAAGAAGGUUUUCGGAUCGUAAAACUCUGUUGGUAGAGAAGAACGCUGGUGAGAGUGGAAAGCUCAUCAAGUGACGGUAACUACCCAGAAAGGGACGGCUAACUACGUG
This 497-nucleotide ribosomal RNA is filed under the name uncultured bacterium. RNAcentral's name for it is "partial 16S ribosomal RNA". It matches the Rfam family "Bacterial small subunit ribosomal RNA", at positions 28 to 507 of the family's 1533-position model. The record is from RNAcentral.